GAUUUAAUGCUUGCAUUAAAGAUUCUAGUGGCGAACGGGUGAGUAUAAUGUGGGAAUCUGCCUUUUGGUUCGGAAUAACACGGGGAAACUUGUGCUAAUACCGUAUAAGCCCUUACGGGGAAAGUUUUAACGCCGAAAGAUGAGCCUGCACUUGAUUAGCUAGUUGGUAAGGUAAAGGCUUACCAAGGCAACGAUCAAUAGCUGUUCUUAGAGGAAGACC
RNAcentral lists this ribosomal RNA (220 nucleotides) under uncultured bacterium. RNAcentral describes it as "partial 16S ribosomal RNA". It matches the Rfam family "Bacterial small subunit ribosomal RNA", at positions 70 to 305 of the family's 1533-position model. The record is from RNAcentral.